Molecule: unclassified non-coding RNA, 195 nt
Filed under: plant metagenome
Description: partial contains small subunit ribosomal RNA, internal transcribed spacer 1, and 5.8S ribosomal RNA
Source: RNAcentral
UUUCCGUUGGUGAACCAGCGGAGGGAUCAUUACCGAGUUUACAACUCCCAAACCCCUGUGAACAUACCAUUUCUUGCCUCGGCGGUGCCUGCUUCGGCAGCUCGCCAGAGGCCCCAGACCCUUGCUUUUAUACAGUAUCCUCUGAGUAAAUGAUAAAAUAAAUCAAAACCUUCAACAACGGAUCUCUUGGUUCUG